UCCGCUGGAAGAUUUCCUGGCCUUGUGAGGCAUGGAACCAUAGAGGAGGUGCACUUGAGGCUCAAGGUGAGUGUACAUGGCAACAGUUGCUUCUGCUAGCUUGUGGCUUUUUUUCCCUCAGUACUGUGGAGUAUAAAAAAGCUAUGCAAAAUCAACUUGGAGCCGCUUCAGUAUUUACUGUCAGCCCUCCCCAAUCUCUCUCCCUCUUCUUUCUGCCUCUCCUAUCUUUAGUCCUUGCUCCCCUCUCAGGUACUGUUUGACUUGUGUCAGCCAACUCCAGCACAGUCCUCCCUAGAAGACUGAGUCCCAGUCAGGUUUCUAUUGCUGUGAUAAUGACCAUGAUCUUGCUCUUCUUGCUUGUUCAAACUGCCUUCUUGUAUCCUCAGGACCACCCGCUCAGAGGUGGCGGAGCUGAUGCCCCGCACCCAACACACAUCAAUCUUCUGUCAAGAAAAUGCUUCCAUUGGCAUGCACAGGACCUGUGCGUGCUGUCAUAACCACAACAGGCUCCUAUGUGCAGCUGCCCAGUUGUAUCUGGGGACGACUGUUUCCUUGUAUUCAUCCACUGGCCUCCGGUUCUCACAGCUCCCCAAAGCCUCUUCUGCAGUGAUCUGUGCACCUUGGGAAGAGAGUGUAGAGUGUAGACCAUUCAUCCGGGGCCGAGCAUCCAGCGCCCUUGCUCUCUGCACGUGGCCAGCCUGCUCAUCGCUGUCACUGCAUACUUUUCUGAUGAAGGUUGAGGGAUC
Molecule: long non-coding RNA, 746 nt
Filed under: Rattus norvegicus (Norway rat)
Lineage: Eukaryota; Metazoa; Chordata; Mammalia; Rodentia; Muridae
Description: long non-coding RNA NONRATT016839
Source: RNAcentral